RNAcentral lists this ribosomal RNA (6135 nucleotides) under Triticum aestivum (bread wheat). Its description in RNAcentral is "partial small subunit ribosomal RNA". Lineage: Eukaryota; Viridiplantae; Streptophyta; Magnoliopsida; Poales; Poaceae. The record is from RNAcentral.
AUGGCCGCCGCCGGCGACGACGCGCCCGCGGGGCUCUUCUCCGGCGUCUGGUCCCGCCUCCACGCCGCGGCCUCCGUCUGGCGUCGCCGGGGCCAGGCCUCCCAAGACGGUGACGGGGAGGAGGAGGAGUCCACCGUGCGGUCGCGCCUCGCGAGGCGGGCCGCGGCGGCGCGGCGGGUCGGACGGAAGCUCGCCUUCGUCUCCUUCAACCUCGAGGUGCUGGUAUUCAUCUACGCGUUCUGGAGGGCGAGGAGACGGAGUCUGACCUGGAGGCAGCCCAUCCAGGUGCUGCCGGUGCUUGCGGUCCCUGCUCUCGCCACGCUCAUAUACGCCGCCUUCGUCCGCUUCACCAGAAUGCUUGACCUAAAGGACAAAAGAACACUUGAAAGACUUCAAGAGGACAAGCCGCAAACUGAGUGUGAACCAAGGGAUUCAGUUGACCUCAAGGACAAGGAAACGCUUGAAAGACUUCAAGAGGACAAGCAGCGAACUGAGUGUGAACCAGGGGAGUUUGACCGGGACAACCAAAACAAUGUCCAGAACUGUGAUGAUGUGGACGAUGCUAGUAAUUCUCUGGUUGGAACUGAUUCAGCAGCACAAACUGCUAAGCUUAUGAAACAUCGCCAGUCGAGCAUUAAGCAUAGAGAUGAUGAUGGAGCAGAUAUGGCUUGGGGUCAUAGCAAGGAUUUCCAAUCAGCACCCUCAGGUGGACUAAGGAUGAGAAGAUUGUCAAGUGCAAAAACAUACAUGACCAGCAGCAGUUUUAUAGAAAGAAGUGUGGAAAAGACACAGGAAAUGCCAUCUGUCUCUGCACAUUUAGAUCAGCAUGUCCAUGUCCCUAUUUCCACUGAAGAUACUAUUUCGUAUCAUUUUGAUGAUUGCCGCAGCAUGCAUGCUCAACCUGCAGAUACCCCUCAAGAAUUGUCUGAAGGAGAUGGUGACAAAGAAGGGUUUGAUGGAUUAUGGGACAUUGUGGAAACUCGUUCCAAUUCCAGCAAGGAGAAUCCCAUAUCUCCAGUUGGUUCUCAUAAUAAUUUUUAUGACGGAGACGAUUCACGCUCCCCUGCAUCUUCACCAGACGACUUUGUUGCUCAUAAUAGCUUAAAUGACUUCAGCCCUGACCUGUCUGGUCUGGUACUACCUGCAUCAGAAACCUUGAAAAUGUUGCCUCCCGAAGGUGUCAGGGAGGAAGCAUUGCUUGAUCCACACAAGUCAGAAGUGUUGCAUAUGUAUUCUUUGACUCCAAAGGAGAGCCCUACUCCCUAUGCAGUCAAUGACAAGGAACUGCCAAUCACUCCUGACAUGGGGACCUAUUCAGAGUUGCUUGGCGAGGGAGUCGAGACAGAAUCGUCCAUAUUCCAUACACCAGAGGACAGUACGCCAUCCUUCAUCUCAGAGGAGGUUUUACUGUGUCCACCUGCAGUCAGUAAUAUCGAACAUUGCUUGGGGACUCCAGAGUUCUCUUUGUGCGGUCAAGAGACUGAAAAAAUUGAAGUUGUUGGAAGUGUCAGCUUUACUAAUGACAGUCCUGAGUUAAGCUUCUUAUCCUCUCCAGAAUUAGUUGUGGAGAGUGCUGAGGAUGCCAUUGAGAAAGAAUUAUGUGAGUUAAACUCAAAGGAGGAGACUACUAUGCUCAUCAGUAUGGAGGAGGAACCUUUGCAAGGUCCACUUAUAGUCAGUACUGGUACUAGUGAACAAUGCCUGGAAACUUCAGAUGUCUCUUUAUGCAUUCAAGAUACCAAGGCGGGGGAAGUUUCUGGAAUUAUAAACUUUGUUACAGCCACUCCUGAAUUAAUGUAUACAGCGUCUCCGGAGUUACUUGCAGAAGGUGAUGAGGACUUGAAGGAGGAUAAAACGUCUGAUUUGCAUUUACCGGAGCAGAAUGGCCUACCUUUAAACAUUGAGAAAGAACCUAUUCUGGAUUCACUUGUAGCUGAUACUGCUGAGGAUGUCGAGAGAACAGAAGUUCAUGAUGUUGUCCAGGAAGGUUCUUUUGAAUCAGAAGACGAGGAAACAUUUAAUAAUCCAAAUCUUGUUGUCACUUCUUCAAUUGAUGAUAGUAAAAAUCAAAAUUUGAUAAGUGACUCAAUGCUUGUUCAAUUUAUUCCAAACACCGACAUAAAUGAAGCUCUUGAAGGUGGCUGGGAAGCAGUUUCUGAACCGCUACAUCAAGGCCCUCGCCAUUCUGAAGGAAUGUUCUUAUCUCCCGGGGAGAUCAAUAAUGACGAAAUCUAUUCUUUGACUCCAAUGGAGAGCCCUACAUUGUAUGCAGUCAAUGACAAGGAGCUGCCAAUCACUCCUGACAUGGAGAGCUAUCCAGAGUUCUUUGGCGAGGGAAUUGAAGAGAUAGUAUCGUCCAAGUUCCAUAUGCCAGAGGAGAGUACGACGCCCUUCAAUUUGGAGGAGGUUUUACCGUGCUCGCUUGCAGUCAGUAAUAUAGAAAAUUGCCCCGGGGCUCCAGAGUUCUCUGUAUGUGGUGAAGAAGAGACUGAUAAAAUGGAAGUUGCUGGAAGUGUCAGCUUUAUCAAUGUCAGUCCUGAGUUGAGCUUCUUAUCUUCUCCAGAGUUGGUUGUGGAGAGUGCUGAGGAUGCCACCGAGAAAGAAUUAUGUGAAUUAGAUACAAAGGAGGACAAUGCUAUACUCAUCAACAUGGAGGAGGAAGCUUUACAAGAUCCGCUUAUGGUCAGUACCAGUACUGUUGAACAAUGCUUGGAAACUUCAGAUGUCUCUUUACGCAUUCAAGAUGCCAAUCCUAAAUCGAUGUACCCACCAUCUCCAGAGGUACUUGGAGAAUAUAAUGAAGAAUUCAAGGAGGAUCAAACGUCUGACUCGCACAUACUGGAGGAGAAUGGCCUACCUUUUAAUUUUGAAAAGGAACCUAUUCUGGAUUCACCUGUAGCUGAUACUGCUGAGGGCGUCGAGAUAACAGGGGUUCAUUAUGUUGUCAAGGAAGGUUUUUCUGAGUCAGAAGGCGAGGAAGCAUUUAACUAUCAAAAGCUUGCUGUCACAGAUUCGGAGGAUGAUAGUGACACUCAAAAUUUGAUUAUUGAUUCAAUGCCAGUGAAAUUCAUUCGAAACAGCGACCUAAAUGAAGUUCUUGAAGGUGGCCAGGAAGCAUUUUCUCAGCCACUAUGCCAAAGCACUCGCCAUUCUGAAGGAAUGUUCUUAUCUUCAGCGGAGAUCAAUAAUGAUGAAGUCUAUUCAAGCAACUCAAAUUCAUAUGCCAAUGUGGUGGAAGAUGCUGCACCCUCUGAAGGACUUUCUAAGUUUGAAGAUGAAAUGUCUAUUGCUUCUUUAGAUACUCCCAUCUGCCUGGAUGAGGUUAAAAGUGCAGCUAUUGUUGACAUUGAUAUAGUCAGUCCUAAACUGAGCCUUCAACCAGAGCUGCAUGAUGUGGGAGUUGAGGAGAAUGAAUUUUCCAAGUUCCAUGUACCAGAGGAAAUCAGAACACCCUUCAAUUUGGAGGAGCAAGUUUUGCUAUCCCCAGUUGCGGUCAAUAAUACUGAAUACUGCAGGGAGACUCAGGAGUUCUCUUUGUACAAUCAAGAGAAUGAGGAAAGGGAAGUUGUUGAAAGUGUCAGCUAUAUUAAGGUCAGUCCUGAGUCGAGCCUCUUAUCCUCUCCAGAGUUUGUUGGGGAGGGUGGUGAGGAUGCUAGGGAGAAAGAAGCACACGAAUUAAACACAAAUGAGGAGAAUGAGACACUCAUCAAUUUGGAGGAGGAACCUUUACAAGCUGCGCCUGUGGUCAGUACUACUGAUCAGUGCUUGGAAACAUCAGAGUUUUCUUUAUCUAGUGAAGUUGCCAAGACAACGGAUGUUCCAGAGAUUGUUAGCUUUGUUACAGUCAGUCCUGAAUUAAACUACUCUGCAUCUUCAGAGUUACUUUCAGAGGGGGGCGGGGACUUACACGAGGAUGAAACGUCUGACUUGCACUUACAGGAGCAGAAGGCCCUACCUUUUAAUUUGGAGGAGCCUUUUCUGGAUCCACUUGUAGUUGAUACUGCUGAAGAUGCGUUGGCUACAUCAGAACUUUUGAUAUGCAGUGAAGAGGUCAAGAUGACCGAAGUUCAUGGAGUCGUCGAGGAAGUUUUCUCUGAAUCAGAAGACGAGGCAGCAUGUGACCAUCCAAACCUUGUUCUCGCCUCUCCAGAUGAUGAUAGUACCGCUCAAAAUUUGACAAGUAAUUCAAUAUCUGCUCAGGUCAUUCCGGACACCAGUGUAAAGGAAGCUUCUCAAGCUGGUCAGGAAGCAUGGCCUGAGCCACCACAUGAAAGCAUUUGCCAUUCUGAAGGAACAUUCCUAUCUUCAGGUGAGGUCAAUCAUGAUAAAGUGACAGUUGAAGCACCAUUUGCUGGUGAGGGAGGACUUUCUAUGCCUGAAGAUGAAAUAGCUUUGACUUCUCUAGAGACUUCCAUCUUGCUUGAUGAGGUUAGAACUGCAGAAAAUUUGGCAGCCAACUCUGAACCUUCUCAGUCCAUCCCAGACAUCAACGGAUUUCAAUCUCUUCACGACCAGGAACAAGCUCCAUCUGAAACACUGCAGGACACUAAUUUUCUUCUCGAGGGAAGCCACACAUCUUCAGAUGAGGGUAUAAACUCUGAAAUAUUUUCGCUGUAUUCCAGGUCAUCUUCAUGUGUUUCAGAGAUCAACAUGCUGGAAUCUCUCAGAAGUGGAACAUCUUCUGAACCGGACAAUGAUCGUGGUUUAAGCUUUGAUGAGAGGAACCGUGUGAUAUUUCAUAACAUGGACAGUACAGAAAAUAACACAAACAACCCAGUGACUGAUGAAUCUAUCCUGGAGACCAACAUGAUUGAAACUCUUAAUAUUGCUGAUGAAACAACUGCUGAUUCACCGCAUGAAGUUUCUUCAAACUUUGUGGACUCUUUUGUAGCUCCAGAUGUAAUCAAUGGCAUGACACAAUCAGAUCAACACUUGGACUUAUCAUCCUCUUCAUUUGCUCCGGUGGUUGAUGCAUUUGAAACAUUGCAAAGUGGUCAGUUUUUUUCUGAGCCUCAACUCGAAAAUGAUGUUAUGUUUGAGCAGACCCACAUGUCCCCUAAGGAGGCUGACGAUGCUGAAAACUAUUUCACCAAUACAAUUGACGAUCCUCAAGAUAGUGAGAGAACAUCAACUGUAGCUUUGGAAGAUGAAGAUGAUUUAACUCUUCAUAAGGCUUACAUGUCUCCUGAAGAUAUCAGUGAAGUCAAAAAUUCUUUGGCUGAUGAUUAUGCUUCAGAUCUUCCUCACAUGCCGGAGAACCAUUGCUUCAGCGAAAAAGUAUCACCUGAAUCUCAGGACCCCUUAAGUUCUGAGGAGAUUUUGGUUUGUCCAGAGGGUUUGAAAACUGAAAAUGAUUUAGACGGUGUAAAGUCAUCCUUGUAUUCUACAGAGGCCAACUUGGCAGAACCUUGUGGCAUUGCUCACGAAGGAACUCAGCAACAAGAUGAAACCAUGUUGGGUUUUGAGGAAGCCAGUUCUGAAUAUCACUAUGACAAUUCAGGGUCCCUAGAUAUUCCAGAUGUCACUGUGGCGGAGAGUCUUCAAGCCGCAGAGAGAUCAUCAUCUGAGAUACUUUACGAUGGCAUGUUCAGUUUCGAGGGGACAUUAAUAUCUCUAGAUGGCGAUGACAAUGCUGAGGAUUUUCCUAACAAUUCAGGUUCUGUUAUGCAUACUGCACAGACCGACACAACAAGUCUCCCUAGUCUUCAAGAAGGGUCUUUCAAGCCAGAAGAUGAAAAUCCAGUUAAUUCUAUCUCCCCAUAUGAGGUUGAUACUGAAGAAUCAAGUAGCUCAAAUCAUGGUAAUUCCAGCUCCGCUUCAUCUCGUCAUGACAUCAGCUUCAUGGAGGCUCCUCGGCCCCAGGAACUGCCUAUAGACGCUGGAAGGGAAAAAGUUCUGCUCAAGGAUAAGGAACCAAAAGACAGUAAAUCUGAGGUCAUGAAAGAGACUGUCGAAGAUUUGGAUGACGACCAUGAGAGGAAACCAGUAGUCACAAUCAGUCAUAGCACUGGGAGCAGUAUUGUAUCUGAACUAGCUGACUUGCAGUACACCCAGUCAGUUGAUGAUGAUACUGAAACUCUUAGUGCUCCUCUACCUUCAUCUGUUGCUACAGAUAUUUUGAAGCAGACCAAAUGA